This 799-nucleotide long non-coding RNA is filed under the name Oryza sativa Indica Group (long-grained rice). Its description in RNAcentral is "lncRNA OsGoSa_08g0007290". Lineage: Eukaryota; Viridiplantae; Streptophyta; Magnoliopsida; Poales; Poaceae. The record is from RNAcentral.
UCAGCAAAGCAAGAUUGGACGGUCCAGAUCUCUAAAGUACGUCAGCACACAGAAACCCUAGCCGCACUCCCGACCCAGCCGACCACACCGUCUCCUCGCGUUCUCUCUCACGAGAGGAGAAAUCAGCGAAGAAAGCACCGCCGCUUCACCCGCGUCGCCUCCUCCGCCGCCAUCCCUUUUCCUCCCUCUAACUCCCUAAUUCCGCCGAGCUUCUUCGCCGCAACCACCAUUCGUCGUCCAAGUUUCAUCGUCUGUUGGAUCCAGCGCCUCACAGGUUCUGAUCGAUUCCGCUGGCCAUCGGUGCUUCCUCCACAUCCAGACCAUGACCCAUCAACUCUUGGACUGAUCCCAUAUCGGUUUGCCAUUCAUAAUAGUAGUUGACAUUAACAGCUCAAUGCAUUAUGGCAAACAAGAGCAAUUGUUUCUUUCGGAUGAAAAUGUGUUGUGGUACCUUUAUACAGACCUGCACAACAAGGGGAUAGCUUUAGCAGCAUCCAGUACUAGCUCAUGUGCAAAAUUGCUAUGGAUAAACGUUAUGAUGUGAUGUUUUUAUCGAGCUAAAGCACUACAUUUCUUUGCAACGCAAGUUCUAUUGAAGAGAUCCGUUUGUACAUAUGUCAGACCACCUUCUAAUUGCGCUUUAUAACCACUUAGUUUCCCUAAUAUAAUCCACUGUACGCAUGCGCCACUUUUCUGUGGUUGCUAUUUUUGCUCAAGUGUACAUGAUCAUACAGAUAGCACUCCAAACAAACCGAUCAAAACAACUCAUAUUUGAACUUUGGUGGUAUGGUUCGAAUGU